Meloidogyne enterolobii is the source of this 72-nucleotide non-coding RNA. The record is from the annotation of a GenBank genome assembly. NCBI's taxonomy places the organism in Eukaryota, Metazoa, Nematoda, Chromadorea, Rhabditida, Meloidogynidae.
AGCGGAGUGGUGUAAUGGAUAACAUAUCAGUCCGGUCUAUUGAAGGCGUUGGUUCGUUCCCAGACGCCGAUU